Molecule: long non-coding RNA, 2380 nt
Organism: Apis cerana (Asiatic honeybee)
Lineage: Eukaryota; Metazoa; Arthropoda; Insecta; Hymenoptera; Apidae
Source: RefSeq, a predicted model, not a curated record
ACUGAAACAGUCAACGUCCCACAAUGGACUUGACAUAGGCACAUCGUCACUGAGACGACACGGACAACUCUUUCCCUCUUUACACUCUAUGCCAUCAUAUAUAUUAGUUAUAUAGAUGUCGCUUGUGUUAUUUUCAGGCCUACUACACUAGGAGAUUUUUGUGUUAGUAAUUUAGAAUCCAUUUGUAUAUUAUCCGACAUGAUUCGCACAAACAUUUUUAUUUGUCUUCAACUGAAAAUAAUAUAAAAUCAUAUUAUAAUAUAUAAAAGUGUAAUCGUGUAGCAUUAAUCAUAUCAGAUAGUAUAAACGAAUCCUUGUUGUGCAUUGAGGAUUCGAUCGUAGUCCGUAUCGUACCAUUGGCCAAUCGUGCAUUUUUCUUUUUUUUAUAUUUAAAAAAUUUUUUUUAUUUUUUCAUAUUGUUGCACUAUUUUGUUGCAUGACCGUGAUUCUUAAUGAAAUAUAAAUAGUGACCUAUUUGAAUUAUGUUAAAAGAAGUUGAAAAAAUAAAUAUAGAUUGCAAAGUUCCAGUGUCUUGAAAAAUUCGCUAGAGAUACCUUCGAGAAUUUUUUAUACAAAUUUUUCUCAAGAUACAAUGGAGUUCUAAAAAUUAAAAAUUUAUUAAAUUAAAUUUAUUUGUUUUUAAAUUAAAAUGAAAAUCGUUAAAAAAGAGAAGAAGAGGAAAAUGAACAAUUUUAGCAAUUUUUAUAGCGUGGACAAUUACGAAUGAAGAUUACACAAAAAUUAAAGAAAACGAUACAGAUGUAGAGAAAAAAGAAUAGAAACAUGGAUGAUGGUAUUCAUUCAAAGCGUUUUCAUUUUCACAAAAUUUAUGAUUGUUCUAUGUCUUGUGAAUUUGCCGUACCGAGACGGUAGUGGCUGUACAAGAAUUGGCUCGAUUCCGUAAGAAGGCUGAGCCCUCCCAUUUUCUCUUAAAUUGUGCUAUCACCUAAACAAAAGUAACGUUCAUUAAUGAACAUUUUCUUUAUUUCACGUAAUUAGAAAUAAUCGUUUACUUACCUCACCGUUACAGAAACAAAAUAAAAUAGCCACACAGAGACCCUGUGGAAAAAAUAUCAAUCAAAAACUUAAAAAUUUAUAAAUAAUAUUUAAUAUAAUAAUUAUUUAUUUCAAAUAUUUAUAAAAGAUUGAUUAAUUUUAAUAUUCAAUUUGAUAUAGUAUCCAAGAAAAUUGAAAGUUGAUUGUGAAAUAUAAGAAAAUGGUAAAUGUAAUUUCUAUUUGAAAAUAUGUAAAAUCAUUUUGUACCUGGAAAGAAGCCGUUAUAGCAGAAAGAACUUCGUAGAAAUGCUCCCAAGGAUGAUUUUUCGGUGGCCUGAACGGUAUGACAAGAUAAUGUAAACCCAAAAGAGGUACAAGAAGUAAUGUUGCCCUAAUGAAAUGAAAAAUUGUUAUUUUUUUUUUUUUACUUAAACUAAAGCGAAAUUAUAAGCAAAAUUAAAAAACAUUUAGAUACGAAUUAAUAGGUAUUAAUUACCGAAAUGCUUGACGCAUAGAUCUCGAAGGUUGUGUACCAAUGCUAGGACCAGCUCUUAGCUUCAUUAAUAGAACUCGAACGAUAUUGAAGAGAAAAAGUACAUUCAAUAAGGUGGAAACACAUACUGGAUAAACCAAUACGUUCAUGUAAUUACCCUCAUUGAUCCAACAUCUGAGAUCAACAUCAAUCAAUGUACGGGCCAACCAAGAAUCAUCAACCAUUUUACUAAUUUCUGUUCGCUUGUGAAUGCACUGACAAGCAGAGUAUGUAGAUAAAAACCUUCGCAUAACAUCCAUGCGUAAUUAGUAAGAAGAAAAUAAUGGAGGAUAAUAUGCAACAGCCGACAUGUCAUCUGAAAAAUUUACAAAGGCGUUAUUAUUCGAAUGAUAUAUGGUGUGAGUAAAUUCUCGUUCGAGUUACUGGGUCGAGUGUUAAGCAAAGAGUUAAGAUCUUCAUACAUACCCCAUUGUUUAACAGUAAAUCCGUAUUCGCUACGAUGCAUCUAUACCACACCAGCCAUAGAGCAUUAUUUACAGCAAAAGAGGCGAACAGGUUCAUAUGAAGAGUGAUCCUUGCACACCUCAGGGAGCUAUUUCGAAGAAAUUCAUGCAAAGAAUCAAUAAUUUCAUGUCAAUAUCGAUAAAUUUAUAAUAUAUAUAUUUGAAAAAGCAAAAUUCUGUGUUUGUUUACGGAUAUAAACAAUGAUAUUCGUAAAUUUGCAUGACACAUUUUAAAAUCUCUCGAUACGAAGGAAUAAUUGAUUUCGAUAAUAAAAUUUAUUUUAACAAAAAAAAAAAAUACAAGAAGUUGAAAGAAAAAAAAGAAAGAAAAUGAAAUAAUAACGUGAAGAGAAGAUAAAUUCGUAUUCAUUAUUAACUCACCGGAAAU